GUGCACCAGGCGCGAAAACUUUACAAUGCAGGCAACUGUGAUAAGGGAACCCCGAGUGCCCGUAUGGACGGGCUGUUCAGGUGCUUAAAAACCACCUGGAGAAAGGGCCGGGCAAGACCGGUGCCAGCCGCCGCGGUAAUACCGGCGGCUCGAGUGGUGGCCACUAUUACUGGGCUUAAAGCGUCCGUAGCUUGGUCGUUAAGCCUCUGGGGAAAUCUUCCGGCUCAACCGGAAGGCGUCUCAGGGGAACUGGCGGCCUAGGGAUCGGGAGAGGUGAGAGGUACUCUGGGGGUAGGAGUGAAAUCCUGUAAUCCUCAGGGGACCACCUGUGGCGAAGGCGUCUCACCAGAACGACUCCGACAGUGAGGGACGAAAGCUGGGGGAGCAAACCGGAUUAGAUACCCUUGUAGUCC
This 413-nucleotide ribosomal RNA is filed under the name Methanofollis sp. enrichment culture. Its description in RNAcentral is "bacterial SSU rRNA". It matches the Rfam family "Archaeal small subunit ribosomal RNA", at positions 330 to 747 of the family's 1478-position model. The record is from RNAcentral. Lineage: Archaea; Methanobacteriati; Methanobacteriota; Methanomicrobia; Methanomicrobiales; Methanomicrobiaceae.